Molecule: long non-coding RNA, 733 nt
Organism: Ochotona princeps (American pika)
Lineage: Eukaryota; Metazoa; Chordata; Mammalia; Lagomorpha; Ochotonidae
Exons: 3
Source: RefSeq, a predicted model, not a curated record
GCCUUAAGAAGUAAACAAUGAAGUUCCUUUGGGGACACAACAGUUGCGUAACUGAUUAUUUUGCUGCGUGUUAACCCACAAAGGGUGGGGGGGACAUAUAAAAGCUGCUCGCGAUUGGAAGGGGCCUUUUCCUGAUGUUUUAAAAACACUCACCCCCACGGUACAAGUCCUUUCUCCUGCCAGGAGAGGUAAUCUCAUCCAAGUUCAUGAGUCAUCUGUCAAGUCACACCAACCUCACCCAACCACCUUACCUUCAGGUCCACGUUUUUCUUUUGGACUUCACACCCAGUGCACCACCUUCGCUUGUGGCCAUUUGUUACAAUGGCUUUAAAACGCUAUACAGAAGGACAUCAAGGGGUACAAUAUCAUGGAAACCAAGGCAAAGAGUAUCUCAAGAGGAAGAGUGGACACAACUAGUUCAGCUGGCAGGUAUUAAGGACAUUGUCUAUGUCAAGCCUUGUCCAAGGUGCUGGAGAUGUCAUCCUGGUGGUGAUUCAUUCUAAAUGAAAGGAAACAGGUGAAUAAGCAGUGUCAAGAAGUCAAUUAAAAGCAGGAUGAAGUGGCCAAUGCUGCGGCGCAGUGGAUUAAAAUGCCACCUAUAUAAGUUCUGAUUCAAGUCCAGGAGGUUCCUCUUCCAGUCCAGUUUCCUGCUAAUAUGCCUGGGAAUGCAGAAGCUAGUCCACGAAUCUGGCUCCCGGAUACCUACAUGGAAGACCACAUAAGAGAUGGAAUU